UCCAGACUCCUACGGGAGGCAGCAGUGAGGAAUAUUGGUCAAUGGGCGGAAGCCUGAACCAGCCAAGUCGCGUGAGGGAAUAAGGCCCUACGGGUCGUAAACCUCUUUUGCCGGGGAGCAAGGGCGGGGACGUGUCCCGGCCCGGAGAGUACCCGGAGAAAAAGCAUCGGCUAACUCCGUGCCAGCAGCCGCGGUAAUACGGAGGAUGCGAGCGUUAUCCGGAUUUAUUGGGUUUAAAGGGUGCGCAGGCGGAGGUGCAAGUCAGCGGUCAAAUUGCGGGGCUCAACCCCGUACUGCCGUUGAAACUGCAUCCCUUGAGUGCGCGAGAAGUAUGCGGAAUGCGUGGUGUAGCGGUGAAAUGCAUAGAUAUCACGCAGAACUCCGAUUGCGAAGGCAGCAUACCGGCGCGCAACUGACGCUCAUGCACGAAAGCGUGGGUAUCGAACAGGAUUAGAUACCCUAGUA
Molecule: ribosomal RNA, 465 nt
Filed under: uncultured bacterium
Lineage: Bacteria
Description: bacterial SSU rRNA
Rfam family: Bacterial small subunit ribosomal RNA
Source: RNAcentral